This 195-nucleotide ribosomal RNA is filed under the name uncultured bacterium. Its description in RNAcentral is "partial 16S ribosomal RNA". It matches the Rfam family "Bacterial small subunit ribosomal RNA", at positions 328 to 539 of the family's 1533-position model. The record is from RNAcentral.
ACGCUCGACACCUGGAGGCAGCAGUGGGGAAUAUUGCACAAUGGGGGAAACCCUGAUGCAGCGACGCCGCGUGAGCGAAGAAGUAUUUCGGUAUGUAAAGCUCUAUCAGCAGGGAANAAACUGACGGUACCUGACUAAGAAGCACCGGCUAAAUACGUGCCAACAGCCGCGGUAAUCUGAGCGGGCUGGCAAGGC